Camellia sinensis is the source of this 1545-nucleotide non-coding RNA. NCBI's taxonomy places the organism in Eukaryota, Viridiplantae, Streptophyta, Magnoliopsida, Ericales, Theaceae. The record is from RefSeq and is a predicted model, not a curated record.
GUUGGCCGCUGCUAAAAAAUCCAGUUUUAGUCACAGUUUUUCCUUAAAGUGCUGCUAUAUAUUUUUUUAUGGUGACGGUUUGUACUCACCCGCUACAAUUAGCCAAGCAAAAAUAAAGGGGCGCCAAAAAAAAUCUCAUUUCGCACUCAAAUUUGAUUUUUUCUUUUUCUUUUUUUUGGGUGAAUAACAUAUCAGAAUCAGUCCCCAACAAAACCGUUCAACUCCUUAAAGCCUAGAUUGUGUGCCCUAGUCUCAACACUUCAUCAUUGAGCCUUCGUUCAUCCUCUACCGGUGUAUCGACGACGUCACGCUACAGCACCACUGUGAUUUAAAGGCUACAAAUGAUAAAAUUGUUUCCCAAUUGGGCUAAAACCAUCAAAUUCGAAACCAUCAUCACCGUAGGAUAGGAGGGUCUGAUGUUUCGUGUGGCAAAUGAGAUCGGCUUGCGCCGGUGGAUCCUCUUCUUCGGCGGUCGCACGUUCGAGUUAGAGGAGUCGUCGGUGGAUUCCAUAAGCCAUCGAAGUUUGUCGAUUGUGGAGAGAGGCCAGGGGCUCCGACGGGCUGUUGUUUUAGUUGGGUUUGAAAUAUGUUGGCUUGUGACGAAACCAAGGAUGGCAUCGCAAGAACCAGGUUCCACAUCCUCAACCUUAAGAAUUAGAGGUUAACCCUCAGUUUGAAGACGACUUAGAUAAGGACUGGUUAAGGGAAGAAGAAAUGCAAAGUACCGGUAUUAUCAGAUUUUUAGUUCAGGUACAAACUAUAAGUCCUCUUUUUUAAUGUUAUUUUCAUGUUUCAAAUCAUUACAAAUUUUAAUAUUAGCAGCGUAUCAAACUCUAAUGUGAGAUCAAAAGAAUAGACCAUUGGAUGUUGUUGUUGGUUGCUUGAUUAGUGGCUGCUACUAAUUAAUGUUUGGACUUAUUGGCUGAUUCAAAUACUUAUUAUUGUUUUCUCUAUUAAUUAGGGGGGUUUACUAGUCUAGGGUAUGUUUUUCUCUUGUUAAUUAAAAGGGAUUUGAAUGAUGGUUGCAACCAAAAUAACCACCAAACCACACCAUCAACCCCUUUCUUGUCUUGACUUGCUGUUGAUGCAGUCACACAACAAUAUCCAAAGCAAUCUUCAAGCUACAUCUUCAGCCCCUUCCCUGCAACUACUAAGUAUCAAAUGAUGCCCACACACAUGUUAUUCUUUUAAUUUAUCACAAUCUACUUGCUUAACCCCCAAAUUGACCACAUCACUGCUAAGGUAACUAGUUUCCAAAUUUUGAGAACCAACUUUUUGAAUUUGGUGCCUGCCCACCAUUGAAGAAGCCCCUCUACUAAACCUAGCAUUACCCAAACCAUCCUCCAAUACUUCAAUAUGUUAGCCCAAACUUUCCACACCAUAGGGCAAAACAGCAGAACAUGGGCCCCUCUGUCACUGAUGAUGAAGGUUCUAAAUUAGCUUUAGUAUCUAACCAAUAGAUUGUUUAGUGGCUGCUAUAUGUUUGCCCAAACUCUAAGCUUAUUUGUUAUAUUCUAUAUUAGCUUUAGUAUCUAACCAAUAGAU